Long non-coding RNA from Apteryx haastii (Great spotted kiwi), 1686 nucleotides. The record is from Ensembl. NCBI's taxonomy places the organism in Eukaryota, Metazoa, Chordata, Aves, Apterygiformes, Apterygidae.
AUGCAAAUACCUGAAAAAAGAACUGAAAGACAGCUCAAGUCAGGACACUGCCAGCAGGUGAAUGCAGCCAGGGAAGUGUGCAUGGGAUGUGGCUAUGGAGGAUCCUCUUGCACCCCUCCUGGGAAACCUGCAUGUUCGAUCACCUCUUUGAACUGCCUGUACACCAAUGCACGCAGCUUGGGGAACAAACAGGAAGAUCUAGAGAUCUGUGUGCAGUCGCAGGGCCAUGAUCUCAUUGCCAUUACAGAGACAUGGUGGGAUAGCUCGCAUGACAGGAGUGCUGUCAUGGAUGGCUGUGUGCUUUUUAGGAAAGACAGGCCAGGAAAGCGAGGUGGUGGAGUUGCUCUUUAUGUGAGAGAGCAACUGGAAUGUAUUGAGCUGUGCCUAGGGGUGGAUGAAGAGCAAGUCGAGAGCUUAUGGGUAAGGAUUAAAGAGCAGGCUAGCAUGGGUGACAUUGUUGUGGGUGCUUACUACAGGCCACCCGAUCAGGAAGAGGAAGUCGAUGAAGCCUUCUACAGACAGCUGGAAGUAGCCUCACGAUCCCAGGCCCUGGUUCUCAUGGAGGACUUCAACCACUCUGAUAUCUGCUGGAAAGACAACACAGCUAGRCACAAACAGUCCUGGAGGUUCCUGCAGAGCAUUGGUGAYAACUUCUUGACACAGGUGGUGGAGGAGCCAACAAGGAGAGGUGUGCUGCUGGACCUCGUACUAACAAACAAAGAAGGACUGGUKGRAGAUGUGAAGGUUGGGGGCAGCCUUGGCUGCAGUGACCAUGAGAUGGUGGAGUUCAGGAUCCUGCRAGGAGGAARCAGGGCAMKAAGUAGGAUCGCAACCCUGGACUUCAGGAGAGCAAACUUUGGCCUCUUCAGGGACCUACUUGGAGGAAUCCCAUGGGUUAGGGCCCUAGAAGGAAGGGGCGUUCAAGAGAGCUGGUUAAUAUUCAAGCAUUCCUUCCUCCAGGCUCAAGAGCGGUGCAUCCCUAUGAGUAGGAAGUCAAGCAAAGUAGGCAGGAGACCUGCAUGGAUGAGCAAGGAGCUCCUGGCAAAACUCAACCAGAAGAAGGAAGUAUACAGAAAGUGGAAAGGGGGACAGGCCAUUUGGGAGGAAUAUAGGAACGUUGUCAGAGUAUGCAGGAAUGCGCUGAGGAAGGCUAAGGCCCGUUUGGAAUUAAAUCUGGCUAGAGAUGUCAAGGACAACAAGAAGGGCUUCUUCAAAUACAUCAGUAACAAAAGGAAGUCUAGGGAGAAUGUGGGCCCUUUGCUGAAUGGGGUGGGUGCCCUGGUGAGGAAGGAUGCAGAGAAGGCAGAGUUACUGAAUGCUUUCUUUGCUUCAGUCUUUACUGCUCAGGCCAGCCCUCAGGAACCCCAGACCCUGGAGGCAAGAGAGAAAGUCUGGAGAAAGGAAGACUUUCCCUUGGUGGAGGAGGAUCGGGUUAGAGAUCAUUUAAGCARACYUGACACCCACAARUCCAUGGGCCCUGAUGGGAUGCACCCACGAGUGCUGAGGGAGCUGGCAGAUGUUAUUGCUAAGCCACUCUCCAUCAUCUUUGAAAGGUCAUGGAGAACAGGAGAGGUGCCUGGUUUUGGUCAUUUUGUGAGGUUUUCACACUUGGCUUUGAGGACUUCCCCCUUCCUCUCUUCCCUAAGUCAUGAAUGCUACUUGAAAAAUAGAUUCCUGAGGAUUUGA